This 468-nucleotide ribosomal RNA is filed under the name uncultured bacterium. RNAcentral's name for it is "partial 16S ribosomal RNA". It matches the Rfam family "Bacterial small subunit ribosomal RNA", at positions 28 to 507 of the family's 1533-position model. The record is from RNAcentral.
GACGAACGCUGGCGGCGUGCUUAACACAUGCAAGUCGAACGGAAAGGCCCUGCUUUUGUGGGGUGCUCGAGUGGCGAACGGGUGAGUAACACGUGAGUAUCCUGCCCUUGACUUUGGGAUAACUUCAGGAAACUGGGGCUAAUAACGGAUAGGAGCUCCUGCUGCAUGGUGGGGGUUGGAAAGUUUCGGCGGUUGGGGAUGGACUCGCGGCUUAGCAGCUUGUUGGUGGGGUAGUGGCUUACCAAGGCUUUGACGGGUAGCCGGCCUGAGAGGGUGACCGGCCACAUUGGGACUGAGAUACGGCCGAGACUCCUACGGGAGGCAGCAGUGGGGAAUAUUGCACGAUGGGCGGAAGCCUGAUGCAGCAACGCCGCGUGCGGGAUGACGGCCUUCGGGUUGUAAACCGCUUUCGCCUGUGACGAAGCGUGAGUGACGGUAAUGGGUAAAGAAGCACCGGCUAACUACGUG